AUGUAUACAUAUGUAUGUAUAUAUGUAUGUAUACAUAUUUAUGUAUGUAUGUACACGUAUGUUAAAGUUGAAAGUAAGUUAAAGUAGCAAUGAUUGUCACACACAUACCAGGUGUGGCAAAAUUCUUCUCUGCAUUUGACCCAUCACCCUUGAUCACCUCCUGGGAGGUGAGGGGAGCAGUGAGCAGCAGCGGAGCCGCGCCCGGGAAUCAUUUUAUGGUGAUUUAACCCCCAAUUCCAAGCCUUGAUGCUGAGUGCCAAGCAGGGAGGUAAUGGCUCUCAUUUUUAAAGUCUUUGGUAUGACUCGGCCAGGAAUUGAACUCACAACCUACCCAUCUGAGGGCGGACACUCUAACCACUAAGCCACUGAGUAUGUAUAUGUAUGUAUGUUUAGAUACAUAAGUAUGUAUGUGUGACAGGUUUGUGUCGCGGGGUUCUUCAGGAUGGAAGAAUCACAGCAGGUCUUCAGGGGGACAAUUCUUUUUAACGUCUUUUCACACAAAAUUUCUUCUUUUGCUCAUUCACCAAUGUCUUUUCUUUUUCUUUUUCACAGAAUUUCUUCUUUUUGUUCGUUCACCAAGUCUUUUCAGUCUUAGUUUGUUCACUCACAAUAUUUUUACUCUUCUUUGUUUCAAAAGUCUCUCAUCGUGUGGUCUCUUCUGGCCCUUCAGCCCCGUCCUGCGGUCACCAACACUGCUGAAUAGAGACAGAGGACACAACUGGAAUUACAGACACCAUUUCCCAACAUCUGAAGACCAUCAAUAAUCAGGAAGGAUCUCACCUGAAGUAAUCACAUCCACUCUUUUAAGUCUGCAGCUCCAACUCAAACUUCAGGCCAACAAACUCUGCUUGAGGACAAUUUAGCAAAUACAGAAGUGACAACACAGACCAGGAUGGCUGACGUCAUUCUCGUCCGGACAGAAGAAUGACACGGCAGUCCGACUGGAUCAAAAGACACGUCGGAGACGCUUUACUGAACGAACCAACAGUUGCUUUAUUACAAGCGAGUGUCCUUAAGCAGGUCUGCAGUACCUGGAGGAGGCCAGACAGAAGAAUGACACGGCAGUCCGACUGGAUCAACAGACACGUCGGAGACGCUUUCCUGAACGAACCAACAGUUGCUUUAUUACAAGCGAGUGUCAUUAAGCAGGUCUGCAGUACCUGGAGGAGGCCAGGUAAAAAAAAAUGAAGGACGUCUAACUGGAGAAGCAAAAUAACAGAAGGAUUACUCGGCAGUCCGGCUGGAUCUACAGACACGUCGGAGACGCUUUACUGAACGAACCAAAAGUUUCUUUAUUACAAGCAAGUGUCAUUAAGCAGGUCUGCAGUGCCUGGAGGAGGCCAGAAUGAUUACACGGCAGUGCGACUGGAUCAAAAGAGACGUCGGAGACGCUUCGCAGAACAAAACGUUGCUUUAGUACAAGCAAGUCUGAGGUGAGGCAAACAAUUCUCCUGCCUCACGAUAGGGGCGCUCAUGAUCAGAGACAUACGGUGGCGUAAGCGAGUCAAGUUCCACAGCGAGUAACAUGUUUGUGUGUUGCUUGAGCCAUCAAAACGGCAGGGAGAAAAAGGCUGAGGUGAGGCAAACAGGUCUCGUGCCUCACGGUAGGGGCUACCAUUAGCUUAAAACUAUAGAGGUCAACAUAACUUUGUUUUCCAACCACGGGAAUUGAUAUUCACAGACUUAAAGAAACAAAUCAUCAAAAAAAUGGCUGAGCGCGUCAAGGAAUUCCAGUUUAUCGCUGCUAGUUUGCACCGUACUGAAGCAGAUUGAGUUUAACGCCGACCAAGAAUGUUAAAAAUAUUUCUUAACGGCGGAUAUAUAUCCAUGAAAAUAUGUAAAAGCUGCUGAUGGUGUGUUUGACGGCGGAGCAGCUGGAAGGAGAUACCAAUGAAUUCCACUCUCCUGUGUAAAUGCUGUGAAUUAUUAUUAUUACAGAACUUCAUAAAAGUACUCUAACCCAGUGCUUCUCAAAUGUAAGUUCAUAAAGUGUGAAAAAGAAAUACAACAAUGCAAUAUUCAGUGUUGACAGCUAGAUUUUUUGUAGACAUGUUCCAUAAAUAUUGAUGUUAAAGAUUUCUUUUUUUGUGAAGAAAUGUUUAGAAUGAAGUUGAUGAAUCCAGAUGGAUCUCUAUUACAAUCCCCAAAGAGGGAACUUUAAGUUGAUCAUUACUUCUAUGUGGAGAAAUAUUUAUUUAUAAUUGAAUCACUUGUUUAUUUUGCAACACAUUUUUUAAUUAUUGUUGUAUCUUUCUCUCCAAGACCACUACAAAUGAGCAAUAUUUUGCACAAUUUAAU
Molecule: long non-coding RNA, 2298 nt
Organism: Nerophis ophidion (straightnose pipefish)
Lineage: Eukaryota; Metazoa; Chordata; Actinopteri; Syngnathiformes; Syngnathidae
Exons: 6
Source: RefSeq, a predicted model, not a curated record